GUAGGUGAACCUGCGGAAGGAUCAUUAAAGAGUCAUUAUGGGCUUACACCCUAAUACUCCACCCUUUGUUUACAUUACCUUUGUUGCUUUGGCAGGCCCGUCCUUGUGACCACUGGCUUCGGCUGGUCCGCGCCUGCCAGAGAACCUAAAACUCUUGUUUAAUCAUAUUGUCUGAGUACUAUAUAAUAGUUAAAACUUUCAACAACGGAUCUCUUGGUUCUGGCAUCGAUGAAGAACGCAGCAUCUGACU
Molecule: unclassified non-coding RNA, 250 nt
Filed under: plant metagenome
Description: partial contains small subunit ribosomal RNA, internal transcribed spacer 1, and 5.8S ribosomal RNA
Rfam family: 5.8S ribosomal RNA (bases 194-250)
Source: RNAcentral